Molecule: ribosomal RNA, 433 nt
Filed under: uncultured Ruminococcus sp.
Lineage: Bacteria; Bacillati; Bacillota; Clostridia; Eubacteriales; Oscillospiraceae
Description: partial 16S ribosomal RNA
Rfam family: Bacterial small subunit ribosomal RNA
Source: RNAcentral
ACGGAAGGCAGCAGUGGGGAAUAUUGCACAAUGGGCGCAAGCCUGAUGCAGCGAUGCCGCGUGAGGGAAGAAGGUUUUCGGAUUGUAAACCUCUGUCAUCGGGGACGAUAAUGACUGUACCCGAGAAGGAGCUCCGGCUAACUACGUGCCAGCAGCCGCGGUAAUACGUAGGGAGCGAGCGUUAUCCGGAAUUACUGGGUGUAAAGGGAGUGUAGGCGGGACUGUAAGUCAGAUGUGAAAUAUGCCGGCUCAACUGGCAGACUGCAUUUGAAACUGCGGUUCUUGAGUGAAGUAGAGGUAAGCGGAAUUCCUAGUGUAGCGGUGAAAUGCGUAGAUAUUAGGAGGAACAUCAGUGGCGAAGGCGGCUUACUGGGCUUUAACUGACGCUGAGGCUCGAAAGCGUGGGGAGCAAACAGGAUUAGAUACCCUGGUA